GCAGGCAGCCAAGCUUCAGUAACAUCAUUAGGUAUCUUGAGUUAUAAAGGAACAGAUGAAGGACCAGCUCCAACCAUGAGAACGUUUGCUAUGAACACAAGGAUGGAGACCCUGUCUACGCCCCAGAUGAGAUAACUACUAUGACAUCUGAAGGUUACAGGAGAAAGAAAAUUUGGCAAGAUGGAAUUGAAUCCACACACUCCAUUCCAUGGAAGCCAGCUGAACUGCCCAUACUUGGUGAUAUCAAGUGAGAGACAGGGAUGGAAGGGAGGGAAGAGAAACCUUAGGAGAAAGAAUUGCUCCCUGCCCUGACCUUCUACUUUCUAGAUGGAAACACAACUUUCCAGAGCAAUAGGAGGAUAGUAAGAUGCAGUAGAGCAUUGAUAGAUCUUAAUUAAGUUGGAAUUUCUUCCUAACUAAUGUCAACCAAAUCACUGUCAUACAAAUGCAUUCAACAACCCCACGCCCUUGGAGAAAGGAACAUCAGGUGUGGGGAGAAGUCACCAAGAUUUCAGUGCCCAGCCAGCAAGAGAAUUGAGGAAGCUCAUCAAUAAAAGGCUGAGACGAUUCAAGAAGCCAACCCAAGCACCCUUGGCCAUGACAGGCCGUCACAACUGCUGAAAUGUCAAGGUCAUUACUACCUUGACAAGUUGAAACAGCACACCAGCAGUCUAAAACAGUUUACGUUUAAAGAACACUAUAGACACUACUAGAAAGCACAAUGAUCUCAUAAACACAGUAAAGUUACAGUGUACUUUUAUAUAUACCAAUGGUGUACUCCCAGAGAAAGAAAUUAGGAAAAUAUCCCAUUCAAACAGUUUUUCAAAAGUGCCUGAAAAUUCACAUAACCAAAGAAGUGAAAGAUCUUUACAAUGAAAAUUUCAAGAUACUGAAAAAGGAAAUGGAAGAAGAAACCAGAUCAGGGAAAGAACUUCAGUGCUCCUAGUUUGGCAGAACUAAUAUUGUGAAAAUGGUUAUGCUACCAGAAUCAACCUACUGGUUUAAUAUAAUCCCUAUCAAAAUUUUGAUGUUAUAUUUUACAGAUUUAGGAAAACCAUUCAGAAACUCAGAUGGAACCACAAAAGACCAUGGGUAGCUCCAGCAAUUAAAUAAUCUUAAGUAAUAAGAACACAGCUGGAGGUAUCAUAUCUAAGCUCAAAUCAUACUGCAGAGCUAUAAUCUCUGGUUCUCUGUCCCUACACACACACACACACACACACACACACACACACACACACGCACACGCACACACACACGCACACGCACACGCACACAUGCACACGCGCACACACGCGCACACACACGCACAUGCACACACACAGAUAGACAGAGAGAGAGACAGAGACAGAGACAGAGAGAAAGAAUCUGGUACUGGCAUUAAAACUCAUAGGCAGAUCAAGGUGACAUGGCACAGGAUCUGGAGAUGUACUGGCAAUGCAAUGCCUACCUACUUUUGACUCAGGAGGGUUUGACUCAUGCAGUGGACAAAGAAAGCCUAGUCAACAAAUAGAGCUGGAAACUGGAUGUCUACCCACAGAAAAAUAAGAGUACAUCCAUACAUUUCACUUUGUAUAAAACCCAAUUCAAAAUGAAUCAAAGACCUUAAUUUGAAAACAUGAAACACUAAAAAUGUGAGAGGAAUACACAGAAACGUUUUUGCGACAGUGCUGGUGGCAGGGACUUUCGACACAGAACUUGCAGGAACCAGCCCCAGGUAUGAGUAGAUAGGACUCCACAGAAUUAAGAAUUUUCUGAACACAAGGAAACAUCAGCAGGGCACAGACAGGGAGAAGAGCUCUACCAGCCACACUCGAGACAGGAGACUAAUGUCCAGGAUUUACUACUGCAGAAAUUAAAUGCAAAGGCAACAGGACGUCUAGUCAACAAAUGGAUGAAUGAAAUGGACUAUUUACAACAAGAAAUGAAUGGUGAACGACUAUUCUUAACUGUCCAACAUUCCUACCCAUCAUGGAAAUGCAAAUUAUACUACCUCACCUCUGUCAGAAUGGCCAUCACCAAGAAAUCUGAAUUUGGAGAUGCUGGGGAGGAUGUAGAGAAAGAGGACCCUUACCCAUUGCAGGGAGUGCUGCUCCUAAAUACAGCCAUUGUGGAAAUCAAUUCUGAGGUUCCUAGAAAAAAAGAGAGAGAGAAAGAAAGGAAGAAAGAAAGAAAGAAAGAAAGAAAGAAAGAAAGAAAGAGAGAAAGAAAGAAAGAGAGAAAGAAAGAAAGGAAGGAAGGAAGGAAGGAAGGAAGGAAGAAAGAGAAAAUAAAAGAAAGAUACAAUUACCAAAGGACCCAGUCAUUCCACUCUCUGGCAUAAACUGGAAGAACUCCAUAUCCUACCCUAGAGGUAACUGAAUAUUCAGGUGUGUUGCUAUUCUAUUUAUAACAAAUGAAUGGAAUUAAAGUACAUGACUAUCAACAGA
Molecule: long non-coding RNA, 2426 nt
Organism: Mastomys coucha (southern multimammate mouse)
Lineage: Eukaryota; Metazoa; Chordata; Mammalia; Rodentia; Muridae
Exons: 2
Source: RefSeq, a predicted model, not a curated record